RNAcentral lists this ribosomal RNA (468 nucleotides) under uncultured bacterium. Its description in RNAcentral is "partial 16S ribosomal RNA". It matches the Rfam family "Bacterial small subunit ribosomal RNA", at positions 28 to 507 of the family's 1533-position model. The record is from RNAcentral.
GACGAACGCUGGCGGCGUGCUUAACACAUGCAAGUCGAACGGAAAGGCCCUGCUUUUGUGGGGUGCUCGAGUGGCGAACGGGUGAGUAACACGUGAGUAACCUGCCCUUGACUUUGGGAUAACUUCAGGAAACUGGGGCUAAUACCGGAUAGGAGCUCCUGCUGCAUGGUGGGGGUUGGAAAGUUUCGGCGGUUGGGGAUGGACUCGCGGCUUAUCAGCUUGUUGGUGGGGUAGUGGCUUACCAAGGCUUUGACGGGUAGCCGGCCUGGGAGGGUGACCGGCCACCUUGGGACUGAGAUACGGCCCAGACUCCUACGGGAGGCAGCAGUGGGGAGUAUUGCACAAUGGGCGGAAGCCUGAUGCAGCAACGCCGCGUGCGGGAUGACGGCCUUCGGGUUGUAAACCGCUUUCGCCUGUGACGAAGCGUGAGUGACGGUAAUGGGUAAAGAAGCACCGGCUAACUACGUG